This 541-nucleotide unclassified non-coding RNA is filed under the name Hevea brasiliensis (rubber tree). The record is from RNAcentral. Lineage: Eukaryota; Viridiplantae; Streptophyta; Magnoliopsida; Malpighiales; Euphorbiaceae.
AUUGUAAUGGGCAAGUACCCUUCUUCAUAAUAGGCGAAAACCCCUUUCUACAAUAGGCAAGAGCUAAAUAAACUCUUCAUAAUAUUUUUAUUUAUAGUAUUAGUCCUUUUAAUCUUGAUCUAAUUAGGAAUCCGACUCAAUUUAAGAAUAACACAAUAAGAGUUUUAGUCUAUCUAGGAAAUAAUUUUUCAUCCUAUUGAGAAAUAUUUAUUUUACCUACAUUAGGAAAAAGUCUCUUCUAAAUCUACUCUUAGGAUUUUGAGUCCCAAAUUUAACUAUUUUUUUAGGUACAUUUUCCUUUGCAGUUUUCAACAAGUUGUCACAAUCAAUAACUUGGAUGUAUGUGUGUAUUUUCAUUUACACUUUGGUUUUUGGACAAUUAGUCAAAUAUUAUUUGCAGUACAAUUUGAAUCUCAUAUUCGUUCUGUUUGUUAAAUUUGUUGAUGCCAGCAAUUUCUUUUUUUAUCUUUGUUAUUUAGUGUUGUUAGCUUGGUCUGUGAUCCAUGUUUCAUGUUUUGAUGGACGCCCAUACCCUAUUAGG